Molecule: long non-coding RNA, 239 nt
Filed under: Capsicum annuum
Lineage: Eukaryota; Viridiplantae; Streptophyta; Magnoliopsida; Solanales; Solanaceae
Description: long non-coding RNA (CANN_LNC014106)
Source: RNAcentral
GGCGGGUUGGUUUAGGUUUAAUGAAAUAUUUAUGUCCAAUUUUAGCCCACUCUACGACGUGGUAGGAUCGCGUUGACCUACUGAAUAAUACCAAUUUCUAUUUAACUGCCCACCAUGAUGUGGUAGUUUUCGUGUUUAGUCACUGUAAAUUGACAAUUGUCAAUUUUCCAAGUUAUGCAUCGCGAUGAAAAUCACGAUAGACUACUAGAAUUUAAUAAUUCUCAAUUCACACUUCUCCA